GACGAACGCUGGCGGCGUGCUUAACACAUGCAAGUCGAACGGAAAGGCCCUGCUAUUCUGGCUUUCUCUGGUGGCGGACGGGCGAGUAAGACGGUAGUACCUAGCCCUUGACUUUGUGAUUACUUCAGGAAAUUGGGGAUGAUACCGUAUUGGACAUUCUUCUCCAUCGUGGGGGUCGGAAAGGUUCGGCGGUUUGGGAUGGGCUGGCGGGUGAUGAGUCUGAUGAUGUGGUAGUGGCUUACAAGGGCUUUGACGGGUAGCCGGCCUGAGAGGGGGACCGGCAAAAUUGGGACUGAGAUACGGCCCAGACUACUGCGGGAGGCAGCAGUGGGGAAUAUUGCACGAUGGGCGGAAGCAGGAUGCAGCAACGCCGCGUGAGGGAUGACGGCCUUCGGGUUGUAGGCCGUUUUCGCCGGUGACGAAGCGUGAGUGACGGUAAUGGGUAAAGAAGCACCGGCUAACUACGUG
This 468-nucleotide ribosomal RNA is filed under the name uncultured bacterium. RNAcentral describes it as "partial 16S ribosomal RNA". It matches the Rfam family "Bacterial small subunit ribosomal RNA", at positions 28 to 507 of the family's 1533-position model. The record is from RNAcentral.